GCUGCGAGCGGGGAAGCGUACUGGAGGGUGGCUGCCGGGGCUUGGCGUGAGUUCUUGAUGGCAUGGUGAGGACUGAGAAAGAAGAGCAGAUUCUAGAUAAAGAGUAUGGUGGAGAAGAAGACCAAGGUGAUUUAUCUCUCUUGUGAACACAAUCAAGUUUAACCCAAGCAAUUGGUUAAUUGGUGCUUAUUGUACUCAUAGCAUCUACAGAGUGGGCCAAUAUUCGAAAAGAGCACAAGACUUGAGGAUUUGAGCAUGCUUGUAGGCUAGAAGCAUCACCUUCAGACUUCGUCACUUGUUGACAAUCUAA
This is a long non-coding RNA of Lolium rigidum, 310 nucleotides long. RefSeq lists it as uncharacterized. NCBI's taxonomy places the organism in Eukaryota, Viridiplantae, Streptophyta, Magnoliopsida, Poales, Poaceae. The record is from RefSeq and is a predicted model, not a curated record. The transcript is spliced from 3 exons.